This 521-nucleotide ribosomal RNA is filed under the name Salmonella enterica subsp. enterica serovar Abony. RNAcentral describes it as "partial 23S ribosomal RNA". It matches the Rfam family "Bacterial large subunit ribosomal RNA", at positions 672 to 1191 of the family's 2925-position model. The record is from RNAcentral. Lineage: Bacteria; Pseudomonadati; Pseudomonadota; Gammaproteobacteria; Enterobacterales; Enterobacteriaceae. RNAcentral also lists the same sequence under 1 other name.
GGAAACCGAGUCUUAACCGGGCGUUAAGUUGCAGGGUAUAGACCCGAAACCCGGUGAUCUAGCCAUGGGCAGGUUGAAGGUUGGGUAACACUAACUGGAGGACCGAACCGACUAAUGUUGAAAAAUUAGCGGAUGACCUGUGGCUGGGGGUGAAAGGCCAAUCAAACCGGGAGAUAGCUGGUUCUCCCCGAAAGCUAUUUAGGUAGCGCCUCGUGAAUUCAUCUCCGGGGGUAGAGCACUGUUUCGGCUAGGGGGCCAUCCCGGCUUACCAACCCGAUGCAAACUGCGAAUACCGGAGAAUGUUAUCACGGGAGACACACGGCGGGUGCUAACGUCCGUCGUGAAGAGGGAAACAACCCAGACCGCCAGCUAAGGUCCCAAAGUCAUGGUUAAGUGGGAAACGAUGUGGGAAGGCCCAGACAGCCAGGAUGUUGGCUUAGAAGCAGCCAUCAUUUAAAGAAAGCGUAAUAGCUCACUGGUCGAGUCGGCCUGCGCGGAAGAUGUAACGGGGCUAAACCAUG